GCAUUGGUACUUCAGUGGUAGGAUUCUCGCCUGCAACAUGGGAGGCCUGGGUUCAAGUGCCGACCAAUGCA
Molecule: transfer RNA, 71 nt
Filed under: Sphaerodactylus townsendi
Lineage: Eukaryota; Metazoa; Chordata; Lepidosauria; Squamata; Sphaerodactylidae
Description: tRNA-Cys
Rfam family: tRNA
About the family: Transfer RNA (tRNA) molecules are approximately 80 nucleotides in length. Their secondary structure includes four short double-helical elements and three loops (D, anti-codon, and T loops).
Source: RNAcentral